AUAAGCAUUUUUCAGCACUGUCAAGUCUUUGCAGGAGCAGACAUCUGAAGCAGGAGGGCCUUUCCACGCCUCUCCAGAGACCUUCCCUGGCUUGUCUCUGGCAACUCAUUUUUUGGUGAACAGAAGACUGC
This is a long non-coding RNA of Gavialis gangeticus (Gharial), 131 nucleotides long. RefSeq lists it as uncharacterized. The record is from RefSeq and is a predicted model, not a curated record. The transcript is spliced from 4 exons. NCBI's taxonomy places the organism in Eukaryota, Metazoa, Chordata, Crocodylia, Gavialidae.